Molecule: long non-coding RNA, 529 nt
Organism: Pollicipes pollicipes
Lineage: Eukaryota; Metazoa; Arthropoda; Thecostraca; Pollicipedomorpha; Pollicipedidae
Exons: 3
Source: RefSeq, a predicted model, not a curated record
CGGCUGGGGCCUGCACCGGCCGCCUCCCCGGCAGCUGCGGCUGUGGAGGUGGCCGCCGGUCAACACUCCAACGGCGUGGGCGACAGCAGGCGGGGACGGCUAUCGUCACCGUAGUCGCCUUUGGCCCGGCACCUCCCGGGGCGGCGCCUGGGCCAAAGCCGGCCUCGCGAGCCAGGCCUGGCCCCGUCACGGCGUGUCCGCGGUCUCCGUCACCAGUCGGCGUGGUCGUCACGGAGGUCGUCGACUCCCGGAAGCUCACGUCUGGAUUCGGGGACGUCAUGGGACCGCAGGUGCACACCCGCGCCCUAUCGGCCCCGUCUGGCGUUGGAGACGGAUUCAGCCGCACCACCGAUACCCGCUGGGGACGGCUACGUGCUGGCCCGACGUGACACCUACGGAAGCCGAGCCCACGGCGGCGCCGACCACCGAUCCCAGGAAAACUCGACCCGCGCCCUCUGAGCCGGUGCCGACCACCACCGCCAGCGUUCCGCCGGGGACCACAACCACCGCCACCGCUGCCACGACUACC